This 1485-nucleotide ribosomal RNA is filed under the name Triticum aestivum (bread wheat). RNAcentral describes it as "partial small subunit ribosomal RNA". Lineage: Eukaryota; Viridiplantae; Streptophyta; Magnoliopsida; Poales; Poaceae. The record is from RNAcentral.
AUGCGUUUUGUGCGGCGCAUCCAGGAGUCUGAGGUGAAGGAGGCUUUAAAAAGGAUGAAAGGAGGCAAGGCGAUGGGCCCUGAUUGUAUCCCCAUUGAGGUGUGGAAAGGUCUUGGGGACAUAGCGAUAGUAUGGCUAACCAAGCUUUUCAACCUCAUUUUUCUGGCAAACAAGAUGCCAAAAGAAUGGAGACGGAGUAUAUUAGUACCAAUCUUCAAGAACAAGGGGGAUGUUCAGAGUUGUACUAAUUACCGUGGAAUUAAGCUGAUGAGCCAUACAAUGAAGCUAUGGGAGAGAGUCAUUGAGCACCGCUUAAGAAGAAUGACAAGCGUGACCAAAAAUCAGUUUGGUUUCAUGCCUGGGAGGUCGACCAUGGAAGCCAUUUUCUUGGUACGACAACUUAUGGAGAGAUAUAGGGAGCAUAAGAAGGACUUGCAUAUGGUGUUCAUUGACUUGGAGAAGGCCUAUGAUAAGAUACCGCGGAAUGUCAUGUGGUGGGCCUUGGAGAAACACAAAGUCCUAGCAAAGUACAUUACCCUCAUCAAGGACAUGUACAAUAAUGUUGUGACAAGUGUUCGAACAAGUGAUGUCGACACCGAUGACUUCCCGAUUAAGAUAGGACUGCAUCAGGGGUCAGCUUUGAGCCCUUAUCUUUUUGCAUUGGUGAUGGAUGAGGUCACAAGGGGUAUACAAGGAGAUAUCCCAUGGUGUAUGCUCUUUGCGGAUGAUGUGGUGCUAGUUGACGAUAGUCGGACGGGGGUAAAUAGGAAGUUAGAGUUAUGGAGACAAACCUUAGAAUCGAAAGGGUUUAGGCUUAGUAGAACUAAAACCGAGUACAUGAUGUGCGGUUUCAGUACUACUAGCUGUGAGGAGGAGGAGGUUAGCCUUGAUGGCCAGGUGGUACCUCGGAAGGACACCUUUCGGUAUUUGGGGUCAAUGUUGCAGGAGGAUGGGGGUAUUGAUGAAGAUGUGAACCAUCGAAUCAAAGCCGGAUGGAUGAAGUGGCACCAAGCUUCUGGCAUUCUCUGUGACAAGAGAGUGCCACAAAAGCUAAAAGGCAAGUUCUACAGGACGGCGGUUCGACCUGCAAUGUUGUAUGGCGCGGAGUGUUGGCCGACUAAAAGGCGACAUGUUCAACAGUUAGGUGUGGCGGAGAUGCGUAUGUUGAGAUGGAUGUGUGGCCACAUGAGGAAGGAUCGAGUCCGGAAUGAUGAUAUACGAGAUAGAGUUGGGGUAGCACCAAUUGAGGAGAAGCUUGUCCAACAUCGUUUGAGAUGGUUUGGGCAUAUUCAGCGCAGGCCUCCAGAAGCUCCAGUGCAUAGCGGACGGCUAAAGCGUGCGGAGAAUGUCAAGAGAGGGCGGGGUCGACCGAUUUUGACAUGGGAGGAGUCCGUUAAGAGAGACCUGAAGGAUUGGAGUAUCGACAAAGAGCUAGCUAUGGACAGGGGUGCGUGGAAGCUUGCUAUCCAUGUGCCAGAGCCAUGA